This is a small RNA of Moellerella wisconsensis ATCC 35017, 161 nucleotides long. It matches the Rfam family "Glm Y RNA activator of glmS mRNA". Rfam says of the family: This family consists of a number of bacterial RNA genes of around 167 bases in length. NCBI's taxonomy places the organism in Bacteria, Pseudomonadati, Pseudomonadota, Gammaproteobacteria, Enterobacterales, Morganellaceae. The record is from Rfam.
AGUUGCUCAUUCAACUCAUUAUGUCGGUCCACAUUAGGGUGGGGAUAUACCACAUAAAAUCAGAAUGACGCCAGAGUAAGGUGCCUACCGUCCGGUAAUAUCGAUAUUCGCCCUCGGGCCUUAUCACGCAAAGGACGACACGUUGAGUGAGGCGCCACCUA